GUCAAGCCCCUGGCUAUAAAGUAUUAAAAAAAAAAACCAUAUAUAAACAUACAUAAUUAUUAAUUGUAACUGUAUUAUAUGUAAUUAACAGAUUUUUGCAAAGAUCGUUGUGUUAAAUUGAAAUACCUCUCGUUAAAAUGAGAUUGGAUUUUACUAAGAAAGGUCCUCUUAAUAAGGAAUUAAGGCAUAUUUUGAAUGUCGAUGAAAUAACGGAUGGUUUAAAAAACCCACCCGAAGAAAUUAUUAUUGAAAAUAAUCUUAACGCAUUACAAAUAAAUAAGACAGGGAACCAGAACUUAAAUUCUGCUGAUAUAAAUGAUUUGUCUCCAUUACAACUUGGUAACGCAAAAUUUGGUUGGCUAGACAAAUUAAAACUGGGUCUUUUAAUAAUACUUAUUAUUGUGUACAUUGGUUUCCUGAUCAAAAGUCUAAUAUAUGAAAUAAAGAGAAUCAGGGAUGUUCAGCACAUGAUAAAUAGGAUGAGGCCAAUAAUUGCAGCUCUCUAUAAGAUGGAUGCAAAUGUAGCUAGAGAAGUGCAGAAAGCUGUCAACUCUUAUAGUACUUACAAUCUGCCCUUACCAGAGGAAGACUACACUAAUUUUUAGAUAUGUCUUCUUACCUAUACUUGUGUAGAAAGAAACAAGUAAGAAUUCCAUCUUGGUAAAUGAUAAUCAUAGCUAAAUAUAUAACACAUUUACAAAUAUUGAUUAAUGUUAUUAUAAGAUGACAUUCUUGUUGAACAAGGUAGAGGGUAGGGAAUGCAAUCCCGAUCUCGAGAGAUCUCGUGUAAUUUUUCAAGAUCAACCCCCAAGCGUAACAAGACGGGAUUUCGUAGCAACUGCCUCUCACUCGGCACAAAGAAUAGAUCGUUUGUGAUUAAAUUUAUUACAAAUCAAUUGGCCCUUUGCAAGCUAUCUUAACGUUUUUAUCGACCAUUUUUAUUGAAAUUUAAAACACAGCAAUAUUGGGACUUUUUAAAGUUUUGGUUAGGGUAACACAAAUUUCUACGGGAACUUUAUUCGACUUGUCUAUGUCACUUGACUUGGACGGUCAGCAAUUUUAUGAAGGUAGAUUUGAAAUUAUUAUUUGUAUGUUUGUCAGUGUUUGUGUGUUUGUCACUAGUAUUGUAUAAAUUAAAAUAAAUCUAUUAUGAUAUUAAUAUCUACUAAAAAUUUAAAAGUUUUAAAAAUAGAUAAUCUAGGUCCUUUGUGACUUAAUAAAAAUGUAAAAUAUUACCGUAUAGUAACGGUUACGAGGCUAUAUAUAUAUAUUAUGUUUACACCAUUAAUUAUGUAUCAAAAGACUGAAUAUUUAUUUUCUAAUUAAUUUAUUUAGGUGGUAACUUGGGAUCUCUUCUUAGUUUUAACUUACGCUCAGUAGUGCCGAUUUGUUUUGACUCAUGUGAUAUGUAAGAAUGUAUUUAAAAAAAUUUUAAAAUUUUUUUUUCAGUGUAAAUGUCGUAAAUGCUACUCGUGUAAAUAAACCAUAAUCCAACUGA
Long non-coding RNA from Pieris napi, 1498 nucleotides. RefSeq lists it as uncharacterized. The transcript has 3 exons. NCBI's taxonomy places the organism in Eukaryota, Metazoa, Arthropoda, Insecta, Lepidoptera, Pieridae. The record is from RefSeq and is a predicted model, not a curated record.